UGCUACGGCCAUACCACCCUGAACACGCCCGAUCUUGUCUGAUCUCGGAAACUAAGCAGGGUCGGGCCUGGUUAGUACUUGGAUGGGAGACCUCCUGGGAAUACUGGGUGCUGUAGGCU
Molecule: ribosomal RNA, 119 nt
Filed under: Terrapene triunguis (Three-toed box turtle)
Lineage: Eukaryota; Metazoa; Chordata; Testudines; Emydidae
Source: RNAcentral